ACGCUGGCGGCGUGCUUAACACAUGCAAGUCGAACGAUGAAGCCCAGCUUGCUAGGUGGAUUAGUGGCGAACGGGUGAGUAAUACGUGAGUAACCUACCUUUAACUCUGGGAUAAGCCUGGGAAACUGGGUCUAAUACCGGAUACAACCAAUCUCCGCAUGGGGUGUUGGUGGAAAGCGUUAUGUAGUGGUUAUAGAUGGGCUCACGGCCUAUCAGCUUGUUGGUGAGGUAACGGCUCACCAAGGCGACGACGGGUAGCCGGCCUGAGAGGGUGACCGGCCACACUGGGACUGAGACACGGCCCAGACUCCUACGGGAGGCAGCAGUGGGGAAUAUUGCACAAUGGGCGCAAGCCUGAUGCAGCGACGCCGCGUGAGGGAUGACGACCUUCGGGUUGUAAACCUCUGUUAGCAGGGAAGAAGAGAAAUUGACGGUACCUGCAGAGAAAGCGCCGGCUAACUACGUGCCAGCAGCCGCGGUAAUACGUAGGGCGCGAGCGUUGUCCGGAAUUAUUGGGCGUAAAGAGCUUGUAGGCGGUUUGUCGCGUCUGCUGUGAAAGGCCGGGGCUUAACCCCGUGUAUUGCAGUGGGUACGGGCAGACUAGAGUGCAGUAGGGGAGACUGGAACUCCUGGUGUAGCGGUGGAAUGCGCAGAUAUCAGGAAGAACACCGAUGGCGAAGGCAGGUCUCUGGGCUGUAACUGACGCUGAGAAGCGAAAGCAUGGGGAGCGAACAGGAUUAGAUACCCUGGUAGUCCAUGCCGUAAACGUUGGGCACUAGGUGUGGGGGACAUUCCACGUUUUCCGCGCCGUAGCUAACGCAUUAAGUGCCCCGCCUGGGGAGUACGGCCGCAAGGCUAAAACUCAAAGAAAUUGACGGGGGCCCGCACAAGCGGCGGAGCAUGCGGAUUAAUUCGAUGCAACGCG
Molecule: ribosomal RNA, 925 nt
Filed under: uncultured bacterium
Lineage: Bacteria
Description: bacterial SSU rRNA
Rfam family: Bacterial small subunit ribosomal RNA
Source: RNAcentral